GCCUACUUAGCUCAGCGGUAGAGCAACCGGCUGUUAACCGGUUGGUCGAAGGUUCGAUCCCUUCAGUAGGCGCCA
This 75-nucleotide transfer RNA is filed under the name Bacillota bacterium. Its description in RNAcentral is "tRNA-Asn". It matches the Rfam family "tRNA". From Rfam's summary of the family: Transfer RNA (tRNA) molecules are approximately 80 nucleotides in length. Their secondary structure includes four short double-helical elements and three loops (D, anti-codon, and T loops). Further hydrogen bonds mediate the characteristic L-shaped molecular structure. tRNAs have two regions of fundamental functional importance: the anti-codon, which is responsible for specific mRNA codon recognition, and the 3' end, to which the tRNAs corresponding amino acid is attached (by aminoacyl-tRNA synthetases). tRNAs cope with the degeneracy of the genetic code in two manners: having more than one tRNA (with a specific anti-codon) for a particular amino acid; and 'wobble' base-pairing, i.e. permitting non-standard base-pairing at the 3rd anti-codon position. Lineage: Bacteria; Bacillati; Bacillota. The record is from RNAcentral. RNAcentral also lists the same sequence under 3 other names.